CCCUUAGAUGUCCGGGGCUGCACGCGCGCUACACUGAAGGAAUCAGCGUGCUAAAACCAUUGUCGAAAGGCAUUGGUAAACCCAUUAAAAUCCUACGUGAUUGGGAUCGGGAAUUGCAAUUAUUUCCCUUGAACGAGGAAUUCCCAGUAAGUGUGGGUCAUAAGCUCGCGUUGAUUACGUCCCUGCCCUUUGUACACACCGCCCGUCGCUGCCCGGGACUGAGCCGUUUCGAGAAAAGCGGGGAUUGCUGCUGUCGGGGCUUUCGGGCCUUGGCUUCGGUGGAAACCGCUUUAAUCGCAGUGGCUUGAACCGGGCAAAAGUCGUAACA
Molecule: ribosomal RNA, 328 nt
Filed under: uncultured eukaryote
Lineage: Eukaryota
Description: partial 18S ribosomal RNA
Rfam family: Eukaryotic small subunit ribosomal RNA
Source: RNAcentral